RNAcentral lists this unclassified non-coding RNA (352 nucleotides) under uncultured Psathyrellaceae. Its description in RNAcentral is "sequence contains ITS1". The stretch from base 1 to 105 matches the Rfam family "5.8S ribosomal RNA", at positions 50 to 154 of the family's 154-position model. The record is from RNAcentral. Lineage: Eukaryota; Fungi; Basidiomycota; Agaricomycetes; Agaricales; Psathyrellaceae.
GAAAUGCGAUAAGUAAUGUGAAUUGCAGAAUUCAGUGAAUCAUCGAAUCUUUGAACGCACCUUGCGCUCCUUGGUAUUCCGAGGAGCAUGCCUGUUUGAGUGUCAUUAAAUUCUCAACCUCACCGGUUUUCUGAACCGUUCUCCGAGGCUUGGAUGUGGGGGUUUGUGCAGGUCGCCUCAGCGCGGUCUGCUCCCCUGAAAUGCAUUAGCGAGAUUCAUUCUGGACCUCCGUCUAUCGGUGUGAUAAUUAUCUACGUCGUUGACUUGGUUCGGACUCGCUUCUAACCGUCCGCGAGGACAACAUACUUGACAAUUUGACCUCAAAUCAGGUAGGACUACCCGCUGAACUUAA